AUCUAUCGGAGAGUUUGAUCCUGGCUCAGGACGAACGCUGGCGGCGUGCCUAAUACAUGCAAGUCGAGCGGACAGAUGGGAGCUUGCUCCCUGAUGUUAGCGGCGGACGGGUGAGUAACACGUGGGUAAC
This 130-nucleotide ribosomal RNA is filed under the name Bacillus amyloliquefaciens. Its description in RNAcentral is "partial 16S ribosomal RNA". It matches the Rfam family "Bacterial small subunit ribosomal RNA", at positions 1 to 125 of the family's 1533-position model. The record is from RNAcentral. Lineage: Bacteria; Bacillati; Bacillota; Bacilli; Caryophanales; Bacillaceae.